UGGGAUUUUGUGGACCAGAAGAUUUCCAUUCUGCGUACGAUAAAUGCUACUGGCCUACUAAGUCCCAACUU
This 71-nucleotide microRNA precursor is filed under the name Anopheles gambiae str. PEST. RNAcentral describes it as "partial AGAP013645-RA". Lineage: Eukaryota; Metazoa; Arthropoda; Insecta; Diptera; Culicidae. The record is from RNAcentral.